This 253-nucleotide ribosomal RNA is filed under the name uncultured bacterium. Its description in RNAcentral is "partial 16S ribosomal RNA". It matches the Rfam family "Bacterial small subunit ribosomal RNA", at positions 524 to 776 of the family's 1533-position model. The record is from RNAcentral.
UACGUAGGUGGCAAGCGUUGUCCGGAGUUAUUGGGCGUAAAGCGCGCGCAGGCGGUGCGGUAAGUCUCUGGUGAAAGCGCUCGGCUUAACUGGGCGGGGGCCGGGGAGACUGCCACGCUGGAGGGGAGCAGAGGCGAGUGGAAUUCCGGGUGUAGUGGUGAAAUGCGUAGAGAUCGGAAAGAACACCAACGGCGAAAGCACUCUGCUGGGCCGACACUGACACUGAGAGACGAAAGCUAGGGGAGCGAAUGGG